RNAcentral lists this ribosomal RNA (372 nucleotides) under uncultured bacterium. RNAcentral's name for it is "bacterial SSU rRNA". It matches the Rfam family "Bacterial small subunit ribosomal RNA", at positions 526 to 896 of the family's 1533-position model. The record is from RNAcentral.
GUAGGAAGGCAAGCGUUAUCCGGAUUCACUGGGCGUAAAGCGCGUGCAGGCGGUUCGGUAAGUUGGGUAUGAAAUCUCCUGGCUUAACUGGGAGAGGUUAUCCAAUACUACCGGACUUGAGAGUGAUAGAGGAAGAUGGAAUUCCCGGUGUAGUGGUGAAAUGCGUAGAUAUCGGGAGGAACACCAGUGGCGAAAGCGAUCUUCUGGAUCAUUUCUGACGCUCAGACGCGAAAGCUAGGGUAGUAAACGGGAUUAGAGACCCCGGUAAUCCUAGCCGUAAACGAUGUAAACUUGGCGUCGGUGGCUUAAACACCAUCGGUGCCGCAGCUAACGCGAUAAGUUUACCGCCUGGGGACUACGAUCGCAAGAUUA